UCUCAAUCCCACGGUUACUCUCGCUAGUUUUUUUCGUGUGUGUGUGAGGGUUCUGGUUAAGACGGACUGUGAAACACCCGAUUUGGCCGCCAGUUUGUUGCAACUCCUCUUCUGCUCUUUGGCGCCCCAAUGCGCCGCCUGGGCCGACGUACACUCACCUCGCUGGCGCUGACUGCUGCUCGCCGAUGGAUUGAAUCGCAGGAGCCGUGCACGGCAGAGGCAAUUCGCGAAUUGUUGCAGCAGGCGGAAAAGGAGCAAGAGAGGCGUGAGCUCGCUGUCGACCAGCGCAAGGUGGUGUUUACCGCCGCCAGCAGCGGGGACCAUCAUGCACGCAUCGCUGCCGCUGAAACGUUCGACGUGGCGGCGGCGGGGCUUCCGCGGCCGCCAAACUUUUGCUACAUGAACGUUUCGGUGGACUUCGCCUGUAUGGUGGAUGCACCGGAGGUCGUCUGGUUCAACAUGUGCAAGGCGAAUGGCUUCACCCCGUCCUCGGUGAAGGCUGGCUCCGUGCACAUGCUAGGAGGAAUGGUGUGCCAUCAGCGCCUAGGCGGGGGGUACAUUCAAGUGAUUCUCGGCUGCAUUCCAGACUUGGAAACGGACUCAUUCACGUUCGAUGCUGUUCCGGAUAAAGACGAGAUCGCGGCGGCAGGCCGAGCGCCGCCAGCGGUGGCAUUUGCUAUGCUCGACGCUGGUCUUACACUCCAGUACGAGCAGGUUCUCUCAGCGCACCUCAGCAGUCUCAGCAGCUCGCUCGGCAAGGAAUGCCCUUUGGUUGGUGGACUCUACCCUCCUGUUGGCAGUGUGAUCGGUGGAGGAGAUCCGAGCGGCAAGCUUGAGGACUCAAUCUUUUUCAUCAACGACCGUGUUUAUAGAGGCAGUGCGGCUGCGGUUGUGCUGCGUAGCAAGCUGUUGAAGGCACACGCGGCGAGUGUGGUUCCGUCGAUUUCACUCGGCAGCGCUAGUGUAACUGAUGUAGCGUGCGAGGGUGGUGUUGCGACGGUACGGACGCUGAACAACCGGCCUGCCAUGGAGGUUGUCAAAGAGGUGUACUCGCUGCCUGAGAUUGCUGAGAAGCCGAGCAAGGUGUUCCUUGGCCUGCGACAUGGCGACGUGCAUGUGCCGGUCUCGUUCGUGGGGCAUCCGGACAGCGGUGAGCUCAGCUGUACUCUUCCUCCUGGAAUCUCUCUAGCCCAGAGCGAUACUGUUGAUUUCCUCGUAGAUGACGUAGAACUGGACACGGAAAUGGCCGCCAGCCUCUUGAUCAACAUGGAAAAACGCAUUGCGCCAAUAUUUGUCGAGAAGGACAUCAAUGUUGCGCGCGAGGCGCGUCGUAACAUUGUGGCAUCCUCUACGGCGGCGUUUCACUUCUCCCACGGCGGACUGAAUACCAUCGCCAAACCGGAAAUCCCCGCCGUUAGCUUGGGCAGCGCUGGUGCGAUCUUUGCGCCAUCAAUUUUGCAGCGCUGCGUGGGCCGCUCGUGCCCGAACGCUGGCUUCUUCUCGCCCGGCCAGGUGGCGACAGUAGCAGAUCUCACGUCCAUCUUUCCGCGGUCUAGCACUUACUGCUUUAUGCAGGGAACGGAGUAGGGCAGGCUAUGUCGCAUGUGCGCGCGUGUAUGUGGUGGUUUGUGGGGCAGUUGCUGCUCAAGAAGGAAGCACAUGACUUAGCUCUGACCUACUGACAUGUGGACUUUCAGGUAGUUUGCUCCUGUUUCCACUCUGGUAUUCGUCUGUCUUCACAGGUGGCCAUCG
This 1752-nucleotide unclassified non-coding RNA is filed under the name Leishmania donovani. RNAcentral describes it as "gene:LdHU3.28.0080(CDS-product:hypothetical_prote in_conserved)". Lineage: Eukaryota; Euglenozoa; Kinetoplastea; Trypanosomatida; Trypanosomatidae. The record is from RNAcentral.